ACCAAUACAAUUUGAUGCUGAUAACCACCAAGCCUAUAGGGCAGUAGCUAAAAUCUACAACCGACAAAGCCCUACUAUAUCCAUAGCUACUGGUGAACUGUGUUGGUAUAUGGUGGUUCAGGUUAGUAUCAACAAGUGAUGUCACCAAUUAGGAUUGAAAUUUUGAUACUCUGAUUAGUUGUGUUUCGCUAAGUAUAUAUUAAUGUUUUCUGAACCAAAAUCUUUCCUACAACAAGCUUUAGUAUUUUCCCCCUGUUGUUGUUUACUUUCCUGUACAGCAUGUUGUUCUUGAGUGGCUUGCUUGAAUGACGUGUUUGUGGUUGCCGAGCCCGGCAAGCUUGCAGAUGGAUUUCUGAUUAUGAAAUGGAUUUCUGGUUCUGAAAUGGAUUUCUGAAGAUGGAUUUAUGAAACAGAAAGGAAGCUUACGUCUUGGCUAAGUUUUCAUCUGUAUAAUCCAUUAACAAAAUGGCGAUCCUUUUGCGUAGUUAUAUGGGCUGUCAAACGCAUGCAAAUAAAGGAAAAGCUAAAAUAUGAAAGGAAGGCGACAAGGUGGUGGUGAUGAAGGUGUGUG
Long non-coding RNA from Zingiber officinale, 571 nucleotides. RefSeq lists it as uncharacterized. Lineage: Eukaryota; Viridiplantae; Streptophyta; Magnoliopsida; Zingiberales; Zingiberaceae. The transcript is spliced from 3 exons. The record is from RefSeq and is a predicted model, not a curated record.